RNAcentral lists this long non-coding RNA (206 nucleotides) under Setaria italica (foxtail millet). Its description in RNAcentral is "long non-coding RNA (SITA_LNC002856)". Lineage: Eukaryota; Viridiplantae; Streptophyta; Magnoliopsida; Poales; Poaceae. The record is from RNAcentral.
CUCCAUUCUAUUCUAGCGACAUUGUGCUGAAAGGUUAUGGAUUUGGUUGAUGCACAUGCACAUGCACAUGCUAGUGUUGGAGUUCGUUGCAAGCUGCCAAGCUGGUCCUCGCAACAGGAACCUGCAAGAUGGUCCUGCUGGAGCUCCUCACGGUCACGGGGAUGCGAAGAGGACCGGCUCGGCUGUCCUCGCGCCGCAGCUCACGC